Molecule: long non-coding RNA, 1077 nt
Filed under: Papio anubis (olive baboon)
Lineage: Eukaryota; Metazoa; Chordata; Mammalia; Primates; Cercopithecidae
Description: lncRNA (ENSPANG00000042032.1)
Source: RNAcentral
UCACACUCAGAGAGCUGUUUGUCCUCAUGCACACAUAUAAUCUCUUUUAUGAAUCCCUGAUCUUAAAAUUUAUUAACUGAAGUAGGCGGUCGUCUCUGCUCUUCUUAAUAACAACUUUUUCUGCAGCUUCCUCUGAUGUCAUUUUCUUAUCUAAUAAAAGUCUAUAUUUCAUCAACCUUUUUUCUUUACCUAAAAGCCUCCUUCUAUUCACAAUGGGGGAAUGGCAAGGAAUCCUGUACUUGAAGUAAAAAUAUCCACUUUCUAAAUACAACUUGACCUCUUCCUUUCUGUGACCUUUGAGGCUCAUUCCUCCCUCCCUCUGGGCUUGGUUUUUCCCUUUGCUGAAAGAGGGAGGUCAGAUUAGUUUAUACCCGGGAUCCAAUUCUACCAUGCACCCAUGCAUGAUCUUACCACCUGGGAGAGCUCUAUAAAAAGAACUUGCUGGCCGGGCGCGGUGGCUCAAGCCUGUAAUCCCAGCACUUUGGGAGAGACCAUCCUGGCUAACACGGUGAAACCCCGUCUCUACUAAAAAAAAAAAUACAAAAAACUAGCCGGGCGAGGUGGCGGGCGCCUGUAGUCCCAGCUACUCGGGAGGCUGAGGCAGGAGAAUGGCGUGACCCCGUGAGGCAGAGCUUGCAGUGAGCCAAGAUCUGGCCACUGCACUCGACAGAGCAAGACUCCAUCUCAAAAAAAAAAAAAAAAAAAAGAGAAAGUGAGUGGACUUUAGUGACUGCCUUGAAGAGAAUGUCAUAGGAAUGCCAUUGUAUGGUUUCUGAGGCUGAGUUGGAAAAGGACUCACAGAUUCCCCCAUCUCUCUCUGUUGGGAAUCUACCUGCGAAGCUCUGUACCAAUAUCUCAGAAGGCUGACUGCCCUGCAGCUACCAGGCUGGAAAAGCCACAUAGAGGUAGAGGGAGAAUGAAAUGCUCACAGAGUCCCAGCUAGUGCAGCCUCCAGCUGGUUAAGUCUUUCCAGUCCCGACCUGUAAGUCUGCAAACCCUUAUGGAUUCCAGUCCUAGGUCUGAAGCUUCCCUGCUGACGGUGAGUGGAGCCAUCGCUGCUGAGCCCUGCACUAACUG